CCACUAUUUUCAGCCCAAACACUAUUCCUUCGCAAACACAAAAUAAGGAAAGAGAAAAAAUGUCUGAAGAUCGAAACAUUCCCCAAAUUUGACACCACACAAAAACCCUAACCCAAUUUCACCCUUCACCGAUUAAAUUCUCCUAUCAUUCCUUAAUUUCUUCACUUAAAAUCGCGAUUUUUAUUCGUGGAAUCUGUGCGAUCCCAAUAAUCACACACUCCCAUGGACGACAUGGAAGACGACGCAAGGUACCCCCCUAAGUCAUUCUCCCUCAACCGUCAGAAUCCCUCCCACCGACAUAAACACCCCGCACGCGCCGCCCCUUACCACCGCCCAAUGCCCACGCGCUACGACCAGCCCAUGGUGGAAGUCGACGAUGAAGAUGAGGAAAACGAACACGAAGAUUUCAACGACGACAACGACGAAGGCGAAAACGGGUACGACGAAAACGACGUCGUGGGGUAUCCCCGGAUCCCGAAGAAGCGCAAGGUGGUAGUCGCACCAGGGUCCUACGAAUUCGCGCCACGUUUCAAAUUGUCGUACGGUUCGCGUGGUUCGGGUUCUUCCGGUGAAGAGUGGAGCGAGCACGAGACUUUCGUGCUACUGGAGGUGUGGGGGGACAAGUUCCUCCAGCUCGGGAGGAACAGUUUAAGGUCCGAGGAAUGGCACGAGGUUGCCGAAAAGGUUUCGGAGGAAUUGAAGACAGAGAGAAGCGUGACGCAGUGUAGGAGCGUGCUGGACAAGCUGAAGAGAAAGUACAAGAAGGAGAAAACCAAAAUGGAUGAAAUGGGGAUGGGCUCUUGCAAAUGGCCCUUCUUCAAGAAGAUGGACAUGUUGAUGGCAUCCUCUGCAAGGCAAGAGUAUGGCCUUGCGUGUGGGGUGGAUUCUGGGGAGUAUGUGUUUAUGAACACUAGGGUUUACUUGAACAGGUCCAAUGGAUUUGAUGAGAUGAGGGAUAGUCCAGGGGAGUCUGAGAGUGAUGAUGAUGAGGAAGAAGAGGAGUUUGGUGGUGGCGGUGCUGCUGAUGAGGAGGAUGAGACAUCGUUCCGUGUGUUGGCGGAUUCGAUUCAGAAGUUUGGGAAGAUUUAUGAGAAGAUUGAGAACAGCAAGAGGCAGCAGAUGAUGGAGUUGGAGAAGAUGAGGCUGGAUUUUAACAGGGAGUUGGAGCUGCAGAAGAAGCAGAUUCUCGAGAGGGCGCAGGCUGAGAUUGCCAAAAUUCAGGACGGGGAUGAGGAGGAAACCGACACUUCCACGGAGAAUCUCAGUGAAUGAUGUAGGUAGCCCAUCUGUCCCUCAAGAAGGAAAAAUGAUGACAUUAGUCCCUAGAAAUCUCAAAUGUUGCCCACACUUAUCCUUUUCAACGUAUAGUGUGUCCCUUGCAUAAGGACAAUUCAGACCAAAUUUUGAAAUUUUUGGAGAAUAAUGUGACAUUUUCGGGCUAAAGGAUGACAGAGUCAGAUAAUCCUGGAAAGGGUGGUGAUAUCUUGAUAGAGUGCACCAGUUUCGGAGGGAACAUCGUCUACACGCUGAUAAAGAGAUCCUCCCAGUAAGGUUUUUGACCUUUAUGUUCCCUGAUAAUGGGGAAGUUGAUUAGAAAGGGUAAUUUUUUGUACGGGUAACUAACAAUAAUUUUGGUGCACCAUUAAAUAAUUUGUAGCACAUUUCUGUAACUUAUCUGUCUUUGGAUGGAAAUUAAAUGUUAAUAGUAAACUUAACUACACCUCCACUGAAUUGAGAAUCUUGAUGCCACUC
Molecule: RNA transcript, 1752 nt
Organism: Vigna angularis (adzuki bean)
Lineage: Eukaryota; Viridiplantae; Streptophyta; Magnoliopsida; Fabales; Fabaceae
Gene name: trihelix transcription factor ENAP1
Exons: 3
Source: RefSeq, a predicted model, not a curated record